This is a non-coding RNA of Ornithorhynchus anatinus (platypus), 138 nucleotides long. The record is from Rfam. NCBI's taxonomy places the organism in Eukaryota, Metazoa, Chordata, Mammalia, Monotremata, Ornithorhynchidae.
CCCCUCUCAGGAUCACAACUGGAGAGUUUCCAAUACUCUACCAAUCUUGGCUAUGGGAGGGAGAGUCAAGCAGAGGCCUACCCAUUCCAUUCCUAGCUUGGCCAGUGGGUAGUGAGUGGAAGGCCAUCUGCCACAAGC